RNAcentral lists this unclassified non-coding RNA (173 nucleotides) under soil metagenome. Its description in RNAcentral is "partial contains small subunit ribosomal RNA, internal transcribed spacer 1, and 5.8S ribosomal RNA". The record is from RNAcentral.
UUUCCGUAGGUGAACCUGCGGAAGGAUCAUUAAUAAUUUGCCGAACCUAGCGUUAGCGAGGUUCUGCGAUCAACUUAUAUUUAAAACCCAACUCUUAAAUGUUAUAAUUAUGUAUUUUUUUUAAAUGAUAAAAAAUUAAAAGAUCACUUUCAACAACGGAUCUCUUGGCUCUC